ACGGAAUAGAUACCCAGGUAGUCCACGCCGUAAACGAUGUCAACUAGCCGUUGGGUUCACUUAAGAACUUAGUGGCGCAGCUAAACGCGAUAAGUUGACCGCCUGGGGAGUACAGCCGCAAGGUUAAAACUCAAAGGAAUUGACGGGGGUCCCGCACAAGCGGUGGAGCAUGUGGUUUAAUUCGAUGCAACGCGAAGAACCUUACCUGCCCUUGACAUCCACGGAACUUUCCAGAGAUGGAUUGGUGCCUUCGGGAACCGUGAGACAGGUGCUGCAUGGCUGUCGUCAGCUCGUGUCGUGAGAUGUUGGGUUAAGUCCCGCAACGAGCGCAACCCUUGUCCUUAGUUGCCAGCAUUAACGUUGGGCACUCUAGGGAGACCGCCGGUGAC
This 389-nucleotide ribosomal RNA is filed under the name uncultured bacterium. Its description in RNAcentral is "bacterial SSU rRNA". It matches the Rfam family "Bacterial small subunit ribosomal RNA", at positions 772 to 1159 of the family's 1533-position model. The record is from RNAcentral.